This 429-nucleotide ribosomal RNA is filed under the name Bacteroidota bacterium. Its description in RNAcentral is "Bacteroidetes bacterium partial 16S ribosomal RNA". It matches the Rfam family "Bacterial small subunit ribosomal RNA", at positions 355 to 776 of the family's 1533-position model. The record is from RNAcentral. Lineage: Bacteria; Pseudomonadati; Bacteroidota.
UAGGGAAUCUUCCGCAAUGGACGCAAGUCUGACGGAGCAACGCCGCGUGAGUGAAGAAGGAUUUCGGUUCGUAAAACUCUGUUGUUAGAGAAGAACAGCGCAUAGAGUAACUGUUAUGCGUGUGACGGUAUCUAACCAGAAAGCCACGGCUAACUACGUGCCAGCAGCCGCGGUAAUACGUAGGUGGCAAGCGUUGUCCGGAUUUAUUGGGCGUAAAGCGAGCGCAGGCGGUCAAUUAAGUCUGAUGUGAAAGCCCCCGGCUCAACCGGGGAGGGUCAGUGGAAACUGGUUGACUUGAGUGCAGAAGAGGAGAGUGGAAUUCCAUGUGUAGCGGUGAAAUGCGUAGAUAUAUGGAGGAACACCAGUGGCGAAGGCGACUCGCUGGUCUGUAACUGACGCUGAGGCUCGAAAGCGUGGGUAGCAAACAGG